RNAcentral lists this long non-coding RNA (220 nucleotides) under Capsella rubella. RNAcentral describes it as "long non-coding RNA (CRUB_LNC003122)". The record is from RNAcentral. Lineage: Eukaryota; Viridiplantae; Streptophyta; Magnoliopsida; Brassicales; Brassicaceae.
UUUUUGUAAUUUUUCACACACAUGAAAAAAUAUUUCUACCUCGGCGAUUCCGGCGAAGAACCCUAAUUCUCGCCGCUUCUCUCUCUCUCAUCUCUUUUGGCCGCUUCGAUUCUCAACGAGUCUCUCUCUUGUCGUCAUUCCUAUCGCAUUUCUUCUCAAAUUGCGUACAUCCAAUGUUCUAAGAAAAGAAAAGAGUUCUUGGUCCUCACAUAUGGUUCUG